Molecule: ribosomal RNA, 849 nt
Filed under: Triticum aestivum (bread wheat)
Lineage: Eukaryota; Viridiplantae; Streptophyta; Magnoliopsida; Poales; Poaceae
Description: partial small subunit ribosomal RNA
Source: RNAcentral
GGAGCCUGGGCUGUCGUCACCGGGCCAACAUCAGGCAUCGGACGUGCCAUGUCCCUGGAGCUCGCACGGUCUGGCCUCAAUCUUGUCCUCGUCGGUCGUAACCCCGCCAGACUCCGCGACAUCUCCGAAACGAUCUCUAGGACAUACGCAAUGCAGACCAAGACCGUGUUGUUCGAUUUCUCCCUCGCAUCCACUGCGCAAGGCGACGAGGCGAUGAGUCGCCUCCGGGAGGCCAUCGCGGGACUGAAUGUAGGGAUGCUGGUGAACAACGCCGGGGUGGCGAAGCCGGGCGCGGUGUACCUCCACGAGGUGGACGUGGAAGCGUGGGUGAGGAUGAUACGCGUGAACGUACUGGCGCUAACGGAGGUGACAGCGGAGGUGCUGCCAGGGAUGGUGCGCCGGGGCAGGGGUGCAGUCGUGAACAUCGGCUCGGGCUCAGGAUCAGUCCUUCCCUCCCACCCUCUUUACUCUGUCUACGUCGCCACUAAACGGUACAUUGCAGAGUUCUCCAGGAGCCUCUCCGUGGAGUACCAGAGCGCAGGCAUCGAUGUGCAAUGUCAGAUCCCAUUCGUGGUGGAGACGAACAUGGUGUCGAGUGCCGUGAAGAACAGCUUCUUUGUUCGGCCGUGGGUGCUUAGCCCGGACACCUACGCACGAGCGGCAGUGCGCUGGAUCGGGCACGGGACGCUGUGCAUCCCCAACUUCGCGCACCGCCUCCAGUGGUGGUUCACCUGUCUCUUCCCGGACUCCUUCAAAGACAUGAACCUCCUGAAGCGGAAUUUGCAGCACAGAGCCAUCUUUAGGAGGAUCAAGCCGUUGAGGGAAACGCGGGCGAACUCACGGGAGUGA